CGUGUAGGUGGUUCUGUAAGUAGGGCGUGAAAGCUCCCGGCUCAACUGGGAGAGGCCGUUCUAAACUAUAGAACUAGAGGAUGGUAGAGGGAGGUGGAAUUCCAGGUGUAGCGGUGGAAUGCGCAGAUAUCUGGAGGAACACCAGUGGCGAAAGCGGCCUCCUGGACCAUUCCUGACACUCAGACGCGAAAGCUAGGGUAAGCAAACG
This 208-nucleotide ribosomal RNA is filed under the name uncultured bacterium. RNAcentral's name for it is "partial 16S ribosomal RNA". It matches the Rfam family "Bacterial small subunit ribosomal RNA", at positions 568 to 774 of the family's 1533-position model. The record is from RNAcentral.